This is a long non-coding RNA of Diceros bicornis minor, 460 nucleotides long. RefSeq lists it as uncharacterized. The transcript has 3 exons. The record is from RefSeq and is a predicted model, not a curated record. NCBI's taxonomy places the organism in Eukaryota, Metazoa, Chordata, Mammalia, Perissodactyla, Rhinocerotidae.
CAUUGGUGUUUCACCCCACAUGCCGGAAUGCUGGAGAAUCACUCAGGAGACAGGACCAGCUUAGGAAUCUCCACCAACUUGUUACAGAGGUUUCUCUGGAAAGGCAUUGCAUUCUAGAAACCACCAACUUGAAUCUGCUGGAGUAGAGCUGCAAGCAAAGAAUGGAAAUUUCCAAUUGCAGCAUCAAGGGCUGCUGUUCUGCUGACUGUCUUGCUCAGCCAGGGUCAUCUGCUUCUCUAAGACAUCAAGGAAUGCCAAGCUGGUGCUGAUGUCUGAGUCAACAGGCAUCUAAUAGUUCCCUGAAUCCUGUCAUGUUCCUCCCUAUGCACUACUGCUGAUACUACAGAAGGCUGAUGGUGGCAGCUCCAUGGAAAGCCAAGUGUAAAGAUGUCAGCUUCUUGCAAACAAGGCCACACGUCCUGACUGGCUCUGGGCCAGAGAGAAUGUUCUCACACCUAGG